This 764-nucleotide ribosomal RNA is filed under the name uncultured bacterium. RNAcentral describes it as "bacterial SSU rRNA". It matches the Rfam family "Bacterial small subunit ribosomal RNA", at positions 57 to 824 of the family's 1533-position model. The record is from RNAcentral.
GCAGUCGAACGGUAACAGGUUAAGCUGACGAGUGGCGAACGGGUGAGUAAUGCUUCGGAACGUGCCCGAUCGUGGGGGAUAACGCAGCGAAAGCUGCGCUAAUACCGCAUACGAUCUGAGGAUGAAAGCGGGGGACCGUAAGGCCUCGCGCGAUCGGAGCGGCCGAUGUCAGAUUAGGUAGUUGGUGGGGUAAAGGCUCACCAAGCCAACGAUCUGUAGCUGGUCUGAGAGGACGACCAGCCACACUGGGACUGAGACACGGCCCAGACUCCUACGGGAGGCAGCAGUGGGGAAUUUUGGACAAUGGGCGAAAGCCUGAUCCAGCAAUGCCGCGUGCAGGAAGAAGGCCUUCGGGUUGUAAACUGCUUUUGUACGGAGCGAAAAGGCUCUCUCUAAUACAGGGGGCUCAUGACGGUACCGUAAGAAUAAGCACCGGCUAACUACGUGCCAGCAGCCGCGGUAAUACGUAGGGUGCAAGCGUUAAUCGGAAUUACUGGGCGUAAAGCGUGCGCAGGCGGUUUUGUAAGACAGGCGUGAAAUCCCCGGGCUCAACCUGGGAAUGGCGCUUGUGACUGCAAAGCUGGAGUGCGGCAGAGGGGGAUGGAAUUCCGCGUGUAGCAGUGAAAUGCGUAGAUAUGCGGAGGAACACCGAUGGCGAAGGCAAUCCCCUGGGCCUGCACUGACGCUCAUGCACGAAAGCGUGNGGAGCAAACAGGAUUAGAUACCCUGGUAGUCCACGCCCUAAACGAUGUCAACUGGUUGUU